Molecule: long non-coding RNA, 4420 nt
Organism: Numida meleagris (helmeted guineafowl)
Lineage: Eukaryota; Metazoa; Chordata; Aves; Galliformes; Numididae
Exons: 6
Source: RefSeq, a predicted model, not a curated record
CGUACCGCUUGGCUUAGGUGAAGCCAGGUACAUUGCCCAGUGGAUGCUGGGGUUCACAGUGUCAUAGAGAGCAUCCCGAGUUGCAUGCACAGGGAUCAUCGAGUGCAGCUCCUGGCUCCACGCAGAACACCCAGAAUUCAGUCCGUACGUGUGAGAGCGGUGUCCAGACGCUCCUUGAACUGAGGCACUUGGGGCCGUGCUCACUGCCCUGGGCAGCCCGUUCCAUGCCCACCGCCCUCUGGUGCCGACCCUUUCCCUCACCCCAGCUGCCCCUCCCCUGACACAGCUCCAUGCCGUUCCCUCGGGCCCUGUCGCUGUCCCCAGAGAGCAGAGCUCAGCGCUGCCCUUCUGCUCCCUGUGAGGAGCUGCAGCCGCCAUGAGGCCUCUCCAUGAGGCCUCUGGUCAUUUUGCCUCCUCUAAAUAGAGAUGGAAAACUAUCUGGCUAUCUGACAAUAUCUCUAUAGCAACAAUUAGUAAGGAUGUAGUGCCAUUAUUAUUAGAACGUUUUUCAACUGUCUUCAAUUGUACUAGGAGAACUGACGAAUUUGAUUUUUAUGUUCUGAACAAGAUUUAUGUUAUCUGUCCAUCUGUCUGCCAUUCCAUACCCUUUGGGCCAGUUCUGCUGUAAUUUGAACAAAGUCAUUCCGCUUAUCUAAGUUUUGUGGAAAUUGGUAUUUAAACCUAACUUUGUUUCCUCAGCCAGAGCAAAGCAGGCAAGAACCUCAGUUCCUACACAUUCUUCCUAGCAGCGAUCAGCCAUUCAGUAUGUAUGUAUCAGCCAUCCACUUUUCAUACACAUCAUUCCAGAGUGAUAGAUGUGAUUUUUGUAGGGCACAUGGAAAAGAAAUUGUAGUUACUGUAAUUAAAAUUGUUUAGGGGCUAAAGUAUCCAAAUCCACAGAAUCCACAGGCUUAUUAGUUCUGUUGCUCACAACACAGCUGGAAAGUGCUAAAGUACUAAAAAAAGUACUAAAAAAUGUUUACACUGCCUGUAUAUUUAAAAAGUGGUAAAGAGGAUUUGAUCUGGCAUAGCAUAACCAGUUUGGUAUGGGUACUCUGGAAGAAACAUGGAAGUGCUGACAUGGGAUGCAGUAAUUAAAUACACAUAAUUAAAUGCUGCUGAAUACACCUUUAUGGAAAAGAUGUGAUUAAAUACACUUGAAUUUAAUUUUAGUUCAUAAAGGUAAUAACACUGAUUUAAUAGAUUUAAUCUAAGUUAGAACAGUAUGCUAUUUUCAUAAAUACAGCAUAGUCUACAAAGUCUGUGCAGUUCACUGUAAGUGGAUUAAAAACUGGUUCAACUGGGAGUUCUCAAGAGAAUUGAUUGUAAAUGAAAGUUUAUCAUACAAAUAUCUUUUGGGGAAGCUUGUUCUUGUCCUGGUGCUAGUAGCAAUGACUUAGACAAAAAUAUAGAAUUACAAAUUACAAAAUCACAACUCUGCUGUUGUAAAUAGUUAUAACAGUGAGUAAUGGUAAUGUCAUUUCUAAUUAUGUUUUUCUUAAGACAGUCCAAGUAAAGGCUGACAUUCAAAAUAAGGCCUCAAAGCCACCCUUGGAAUCUGAAGGAGAGUAAGUGACAUGAGGUAGUGCUGACAGGAACCCGGGCAUUAUGAUACAUAAUGGGACAUGAACUCCCAGAAUAAAACUUUUGCUAAUACUCUGAAACAAAGCUAGAGGAACAUCAAAUACAACUAGAUUUUUUUUUCCAAAGAUAUACUAUAGCUUAAGUAUACGCAGCAGCAGUUUUGAUGUGAAAUAUAUAGGCAGAGAUUCUGUGCAGUCUAAUACAGUGGUGUUAUGACCAUGAAAUAAUACACUGCCUUUUCUGUCCUUAAAUGCCUUGGCUCCAGAAGAAGACCAGGAAGUCUACAUAUAUGACAGCAAAAGAAGGAAUAGGAUACCAAGGAUAUCUCCAAAAAGAUAUUUUUUGUGAGUUCAGAUAGGCAUUGUCUGAAGAGCACUUGGCGCAUCUGAUUGUGCACACAAGGUUCAAACCUGACUGUCCAGUUUUGCUACCAUUGUUAAUGUGAUCUCCCAGACAACCAAGCAGUGACUUCCAAGAAUUCUGUAUUUCUUCAAGGAAAAGAAAUGACAAUGCAAAAUGCUAUAGCAAUCAUGUAAAGAUCAUCAAAGGAACAAGAGUUCCACCUUCAGGUCUGGGAAAAUACUACCUCUGAUGGCAAAAGAUACUUCAGAAAAAAUGUAAAGGGUAGAUGGAGGCGGACUUGCUGAAUGACAGAGAGACUCAGACUUGUAUUGCAUGUCUGUGGCCAGUUUUGAAGGGCCUCUUGUGGCUCUGAUGACUGUGUAUUCUUAUUCAGUUAUCAGAGAAUCUGUUCUGUAUCAUCAAUAAAGAAAAAUGAUCGUGAAGUCUCCUAGGAGGGUGGAGAACUGCUGCACAUCCAACUGAGGAAGAGCUUCCUCAAGUUCAUUCUUAGUCCUCAAAUAUAUGAAUUAAGAAGCAGGAUCCAGAUAUGCGAUUCAUUUAACAUGGUUUCUUCACUUCAUCUUACUGCUCUGUGGUCAGCAAUCUUUCCUUUAUGUGCAGUCUCUGAGAUAACUCAUUCUAGGGAUGGCAUUUUAGUGAGCGUUGCUCAAUAAACACAGAACUUCCCAGAUACUUACAUUAUGUUCCCAAAGAUAGAUCUUUUUUCCAGUAGAGCAUUUCAACAUUCUGUUGCCUUUUUAAUGCAUUGUUAUUACUGAUACGCUGUUUUCACUAUCAAAAGACUUGUGCUGGCAAGAGCUGGUAAUAAAGCUUCCAUUGUGUCAUGGAAAACAGUCUUUACUGUGUUCCAGCCAACAUUGCUCUCUCCCACAGUCUUUAAGGAGCACAACAUGGUUCAAAUUGAGAUCUCCUUCUAACAUAUGUCCCUUACAAAACCAUAUUUUUUCUGCGAUUCUUGACAUCGUGUUUUGAGGAAUAUGUGGCAGCAUUUUCUGAAACUAUCGUCAUGAUCUAAACAAAAUACUGCGUGUUGAUUUGGGGGGAAGCUGUUAGCUACUGUUGACAAAAGCUGUGUUAUAGUUCUAGUAUUGGUGGAAUUCUGAUACAAUGCACUUCAGUGUAAUUUGCUGCAAAACCAGCUCACAUGUGGUUGAGAAUCACCUGUGUUGCAGAAAGGAGGUCUCCCAAAUGACAAUGAAACAGAAGACAUUUACUGUCCAUUAACAUAUCCAUCCAAACAGUUGCACUGAAUUGAGUGUAAAAGGAAGAGAGAAAUCUAUUAGUGCAAAGCAGCUUUUAUUUGGAGAGAAACAUUUCUUCCCUGCUCACAUAGGUUAUUUUUGUCUUUUCCAGCAUAUUGGCAAGUCUCACACUGUGAUUUCCAUGUACAGUUUCCAGCAGCUGCCUCAGAAACAGUCACCCAGGAAAGUCAGUGGCUACAGAAACUACCCACAACACCUGAACCGCAGCAGAAUUUCCCUGCUGACAAGAGCAUCGCUAGCUGGUGACAGCUCAUACCUAGGGCAUUCCGGGAACACGCAUGUACAGUGCUUUGCCUGGGGAGCCUGAAAUGGCAGAGCUCCUCCCGUGUUUCCCAGCAGUCCACUAAAUGGCAUAACCAAAAGAGAUAAAAUUUUAAAACAAGUACUGCUGGGUUUGUGGCUGGGAACUAUGACAUGACUGCAAUUUAAUGAAGACUCAUCCUUUUUUUCCAACACCUUCUCAUUGCCACUGGAUCUGGAGAGCUGUGUCUGAAAAAUUUUCCUGGAAGUCUCUGCUGUAACCCCAAAGUGUUACUUGGCCAGCUCAAUGGUUGUCUACUUAGCUUAAGAACUGUCCAUACAGGUGCUCUGAAAAUGACUGAAAGUUGCAUAAUAAAUAGUGGAAUUCUACAAAGAAGUCUUUUCACUCACAAGAAAGAAGUUUUCACUAGGAGGAGGCAGGGGAACCUCCUAUGACCUGGAUCUUCACAGUGAUGCUUGCUGGUAUUAUCUUGAAAAGUGUAAGUUGCUCAUGGCAGAAGUCAGACCCUUUUCUCUGAAAGACACAGAAUGAGAAGAUAGGCACUAACAAUUAACUUCAUCAAUGUCUUCUCCUUCUUGGUUGUUCUGCUGCAGUGGUGCUCAUCAGCAUUUCUUGAAAUGAAGAAUGGUUUAGUGUCAAAGGUGCAAAGGUGAAGGAUAUCAAAUCCGUUGCAAAGUUAUCUUUUCACUACCUACCUCAUGAUAAUUUUGGUGUAAAAUAUGGAACAAGAUACCUGUAAAUCACUUCUGAGGAGGACUAUGGACCCAGAGCUCCUAGUGUUUCCUGACUACAUACUGUUUCAGAACAAUUUCAUUCAGUGUAUGUCUACACUUCCGCUUCAUGUCUCUCAAAUGGAUCAAGCAAAGUUGGAAAGGAGCAAAUCCCUAUGUAAACAUCAAUAUCGUCAAUUAAUUAGGAAACACAGCAAGAUAAAUAAUGAGACCCCAAG